This 29-nucleotide non-coding RNA is filed under the name Homo sapiens (human). The record is from RNAcentral. Lineage: Eukaryota; Metazoa; Chordata; Mammalia; Primates; Hominidae.
UACUAAAUUGUGGUGUCCGGACAGAGGGC